GUCCCCAUCGUCUAGAGGCCCGGCCCAGGACACUACCCUUUCACGGUAGGUACCGGGGUUCGAAUCCCCGUGGGGACG
Molecule: transfer RNA, 78 nt
Filed under: Candidatus Accumulibacter sp. BA-94
Lineage: Bacteria; Pseudomonadati; Pseudomonadota; Betaproteobacteria
Rfam family: tRNA
About the family: Transfer RNA (tRNA) molecules are approximately 80 nucleotides in length. Their secondary structure includes four short double-helical elements and three loops (D, anti-codon, and T loops).
Source: Rfam by way of RNAcentral